CUAGCGACUUCUAGAGUUUGAUCCUGGCUCAGGAUGAACGCUGGCGGCGUGCUUAACACAUGCAAGUCGAACGGACUUAGGUCACCGAACUGGAUUUAGCUUGCUAUUGAAGGUUCACCGGUCUAAGUUAGUGGCGGACGGGUGAGUAACGCGUGGGCAACCUGCCUUUAUCCGGGGGAUAACAGUUAGAAAUGACUGCUAAUACCGCAUAAGCGCACGAGGAGGCAUCUCCUUGUGUGAAAAACUCCGGUGGAUAGAGAUGGACCCGCGUUAGAUUAGCCAGUUGGCGGGGUAACGGCCCACCAAAGCGACGAUCUAUAGCCGGCCUGAGAGGGCGACCGGCCACAUUGGGACUGAGACACGGCCCAA
Molecule: ribosomal RNA, 369 nt
Filed under: uncultured bacterium
Lineage: Bacteria
Description: bacterial SSU rRNA
Rfam family: Bacterial small subunit ribosomal RNA
Source: RNAcentral